UUGGACAAUGGGGGAAACCCUGAUCCAGCAAUGCCGCGUGUGUGAAGAAGGCCUUCGGGUUGUAAAGCACUUUUGUCCGGAAAGAAAUCCUUUGGGCUAAUACCCCGGGGGGAUGACGGUACCGGAAGAAUAAGCACCGGCUAACUACGUGCCAGCAGCCGCGGUAAUACGUAGGGUGCGAGCGUUAAUCGGAAUUACUGGGCGUAAAGCGUGCGCAGGCGGUUCGCUAAGACCGAUGUGAAAUCCCCGGGCUUAACCUGGGAACUGCAUUGGUGACUGGCGGGCUAGAGUAUGGCAGAGGGGGGUAGAAUUCCACGUGUAGCAGUGAAAUGCGUAGAGAUGUGGAGGAAUACCGAUGGCGAAGGCAGCCCCCUGGGCCAAUACUGACGCUCAUGCACGAAAGCGUGGGGAGCAAACAGGAUUAGAUACCCUGGUAGUCCACGCCCUAAACGAUGUCAACUAGUUGUUGGGGAUUCAUUUCCUUAGUAACGUAGCUA
This 497-nucleotide ribosomal RNA is filed under the name uncultured Burkholderia sp. RNAcentral describes it as "bacterial SSU rRNA". It matches the Rfam family "Bacterial small subunit ribosomal RNA", at positions 364 to 854 of the family's 1533-position model. Lineage: Bacteria; Pseudomonadati; Pseudomonadota; Betaproteobacteria; Burkholderiales; Burkholderiaceae. The record is from RNAcentral.